This 197-nucleotide antisense RNA is filed under the name Ricinus communis (castor bean). Its description in RNAcentral is "Antisense RNA which regulates isiA expression". It matches the Rfam family "Antisense RNA which regulates isiA expression". Lineage: Eukaryota; Viridiplantae; Streptophyta; Magnoliopsida; Malpighiales; Euphorbiaceae. The record is from Rfam by way of RNAcentral.
AAUAACUGAAAAUAACACUUGGGCUAAGGGUUAAGUUAGUAAUUUUUCUUACAUCCCCCCCCCCCUCCUUCCUCUGGAGACCAGGUAUCAUAUACGCCCCUAAAAUAAAGAGCCUUGAAUACUAGAAGAAAAGCACCUAUACCUACCAAGAUUAAGUGAAUACCUAAAAUUGUUGUCAUUUUAUUUCUAUAUUUCCA